Molecule: ribosomal RNA, 468 nt
Filed under: uncultured bacterium
Lineage: Bacteria
Description: partial 16S ribosomal RNA
Rfam family: Bacterial small subunit ribosomal RNA
Source: RNAcentral
GACGAGCGCUGGCGGCGUGCUUAACACAUGCAAGUCGAACGGAAAGGCCCUGCUUUUGUGGGGUGCUCGAGUGGCGAACGCGUGAGUAACACGUGUGUAACCUGCCCUUGACUUUGGGAUAACUCCAGGAAACUGGGGCUCAUAUCCGAUAUGAGCUCCUGUUGCACAUUAGGGGUUGGAAAGUUGCGGCGGUUGGGGAUGGACUCGCGGUUUAUCAGCUUGUUGGUGGGGUAGUGGCUUACCAAGGCUUUGACGGGUAGCCGGCCUGAGAGUGUGACCGGCCACAUUGGGACUGAGAUACGGCCCAGACUCCUACGGGAGGCAGCAGUGGGGAAUAUUGCACAAUGGGCGGAAGCCUGAUGCAGCAACGCCGCGUGCGGGAUGACGGCCGUCGGGUUGUAAACCGCUUUCGCCUGUGACGAAGCGUGAGUGACGGUAAUGGGUAAAGAAGCACCGGCUAACUACGUG